ACUGGUGGUGGUGGCUCCACUCUGGGCUGGCUGGUCUCUGUCGCCGCCGCUGCCGCUGCCUGCGCUGCGCCCGGUUGAUAGGCCAUAAACGAAAAUUUUGAACUUCAUGCUCGUCUAUUCGGCUCGGUCUAUUCGGUGGUUUCGGUGUGCUCGCAGCGGCAGCCAGCAGCGUUGUGUGCAUUUCUAUCGUCUCUCUCGUGUAAAAAGCAGCUGAAAAGCUAAGAAGCUGAGUACUGAAGCAGCGGCCGCCAGCACAAAAUAAUACAAAAAUUAAAAAUAUUCAAUAUUUCCAACAACAAAAAAUAGAAAAAAACGAACAAAAAUAUCACAAAUACUCGAACCAAAACGAUAAUCGAACAGCCAUCAAAAAAUACAAUAAUUAUUAUUUAUUUUCUGUAUAUGGUUCUUGUGGGAAAACUGCAGUGUUCCCGAUCGGAAAACGGUUUACGGGCAUUAAAACAUUUUUUCAUUUAUUAUUUACAUUUUUGGUUUGUGUUUCAACAAAUGCAAAAAAGAGACACGAAUAACUGCAAGCGCGUGAGUGUUUUUUAACAAGUGAUUGAAAGCCAAAUGUCACUGUGAAAAUGACUCCACAAACCAACACCAAUUUUAACCACCUCAACAACAUCCAGAGAAACAUUCAACGCCACCAAAACCGGCAAAUGCAACAAAAUGCCACAAAUUUGGAACAUUUAAACAACUAAAAAUCAACGACAAAAAAUUGAAAAUAAUUUCUUUAGAAUUGAAAACCAAAAUUAAAGCAAAAAUGAACUGAAGAGAAGAACUUUAUGACAAACAAAACGCAACGCAAAAAUUUACAAAUUGGCAUUAAAUAAUUUUUGGUCUAAAUUUGAACACCAACAAAAUUAAAAAACAAAAGCGAUUUUUGGCAAAGCUGCGUGCAAAAAAAUAAAGAAUACAAAUUUGAAUAAAAAAUUAUCUCAAACGUCCACACGGGAAGGGAAAAUGUUUUGCAACUAAAAAAAGGAAACAACUAAAAAUUUAAUAAAAUCAAUGUAAAAUUUUAAAUUAAUCAAACCAAAAACCGUCGUAAACAACAAAUCAAAGAAACAACAAAACCCAAAAUCAGUUAGAAAACAGAGGGAAAUCUUUUUGGACCAAACGCAAAAAGCAUCCAAAAUUUAAGCCAACAAAAUUGGUCAACUCUUCAAAAUUAUUGGUUCGGACAUACCGCAAUACUAUACACAGCAGCACUACAACAGCAAAAACUACAGUAAACAAAAUACUACAGUAACCGCUACAGUAAUCACUCCUCAGUAACAACAACAGCAGCAGCAGAGCAGAGAACGUGUGUGUUAGUUUGCAUAAAAAUUUCGUUUCGAUAAAAAGCAAAGCAAAGUAAAAGCUAAAGCAAAACAAAACAAAACUCAAAAUAAACACAAAUCGUAAUAAUAAUUUAUAAAAUAUAUAUCUAUCAUAUAUCUAUACUUACAACAUCUUAUCGAAAAGUAUUUGGAAAACAAUUUUUGAUAAUUAAUUUUAAAAAACUAAAACUAAAACAUUUUGGCAUAAGAAAGUGUGUAGGAAAGUGAAGUGAAUGAGGAAGAAGGAAAAACUUAAGAAAUUCAAAAUUAACAUUUGUAAAGAGUUUUACAAAUUGAGGAUUCAAUCUGGAUUCUGGUUUUGGAUUAAUGCGAAAAUUUGCAAUUGGAUAUUAAGGUAAGCGAAUUUCCUU
This is a long non-coding RNA of Drosophila miranda, 1696 nucleotides long. RefSeq lists it as uncharacterized. Lineage: Eukaryota; Metazoa; Arthropoda; Insecta; Diptera; Drosophilidae. The record is from RefSeq and is a predicted model, not a curated record. The transcript is spliced from 3 exons.